CCAGUUUCGCGUGAUGUACAUAACCCAUUACUAAUGUAGAAGGGAGCACGUACUGUCAUUUCAACAAUUUUAAAAUGUAUGGACGCAUUUUUGCAACAUUGGCCUUCAUUGGUACUAUCAAAGGGCAAAUAAUAUUGGAUCCUUCAAAUUGUCCGAACCUCUUGGCUAAUCUCGCCCAGUGUGGCCAAAAAUAUCCCGUAGUAGAUUCAGCGGAUGCUUUACAGGCCCUUUCUUUUUACAAACAGAGUCCAAGUAUAUGCAAAAAAAUGUCAGAAUACAAGCAACUGAUCACUUGUCAUGUGGACCUCGCAAUGAAUUGCUCGCAGGAUGACGAUAAAAAGUUAUCAGCACCAACAAAGGCAUAUAUCGAAGCGUUUGAUGAUUUCUGUAAAAAUAUAAACGCCUUUAAUUCUUCGUGUUAUCAAGACAGUACUACAGAACUUGGGCUAUGUGUCAGUAAAAAUAUUGAAAGCCACCAACUACCAACAAAUUCUAGUUUUGAUGACAAGAAAGCAUUUGUAUGCAAAGGACACGAAAUAAGUAUUGAUUGCCUGUCUAAUAACAUGGUACUGAAGACAUGUCCCGGAACCCGUGACAUACUUCUCAAGUACGCUGAAACAUUGAAACCACAAGCUUGUGGGGCCAUGAUGAUUAUUUCAAGUAUCCUGUUACUCAUAUUAUCUAUGAUGUUAUUUGUAUCUGCUGUCUAUUAACUAACUUUAUAAUAACUUCUGAAAUGUUAUAGUAUCAUGAUGUUAUUUGUAUCUACUGUCUAUUUACUAACAUUAUAAUAACUUCUGAAAUGUUAUAGUAUCAUGAUGUUAUUUGUAUCUACUGUCUUUUUAACUUUAUAAUAACUUCUGAAAUGUUAUAGUAUCAUGAUGUUAUUUGGAUCUAUUGCAUAUUAACUGGUUUUAAAAUGAUUUCUGAAAUGUUACUCAUACUUUCUGUGUAGAAUAAAGCACAAGACUGUGGUUAUGCUGGAGAAAGAAAGGCUGAAGAAAAUAACCCGAGAAAAACCGAGGCCGGCGGGGCGAGGAUUUUGUUUCGAGGUUUUUUCUGAAGUCUUUCUUUCCCAGCAUAACCGAAGUCGAGGACUUUAUCUUGCUUAUAAACCGUCUAUGUUUACAUGUACGUGAAAUGAGAAUAUCCCAGAAUUCCAGUAAGAAAAACCUUAUUUCAUGUUUUCUAACGGAAAAUAAAAACCUACCCCGGAAAAAUAACCCGUUACAGGUUUAAAGAAAAACUUUUAGAAGAAUAACCCCAAAUUCCAUUGUAUAUAUUCAAAGUCACCCUGCUGUUUAGAUCGCAAAUUAUUCCGGCAUAGAAUAUACCCUAAAGAUCAAGGAGAUUUACCGUUAUAUGUUUGUAGGUAUUGUUAUCUGUAUCUAUUUCUAAUUAAAAAUAACUUAUGAAAAUGUUACAUGACUAUUCAUGAUUAGUAUCUGCUUCAUAUUAAUUGGUUUAAACAAUAAGUUCUGAAAUGUUACUCAUAUUAUCUGUGAUGUUAGUAGUAUCUACAACAUAUUAAAAAUAACUUAUGAAAAUGUCUAUAGUUUAAAAUUAAUAGUUU
Long non-coding RNA from Patella vulgata (common limpet), 1573 nucleotides. RefSeq lists it as uncharacterized. The record is from RefSeq and is a predicted model, not a curated record. The transcript has 5 exons. NCBI's taxonomy places the organism in Eukaryota, Metazoa, Mollusca, Gastropoda, Patellidae.